AGACUAGAGAUUGAUAACGAGAAGGGCAUGAAAUAUUCGAGUUACGAGUAAAACGCCUUGUCCUUGAACGCAAAUUGCGGUAGUCACAAGUGAAUCGAAAACCGUGUUUUUUUCUUUAUUUAUACAAUGACUUUGUGUCAGGAAAUUUGGACUGUGAAUGAUAUCCAAAGCGCAAGAAGCGUAGAACAAAUUGGUACAAAAAACAUGACUGGAUUAAAGAAAUUGACACAAGCACGAACUUAAUUGUUUGAUUUAUGACCGUAUAUUGAGAAAAAAAGUCGACAAACACGCAUUUUAAUUAUAACAAGCCCUUAUAUUUACCCAUGGUUGUUGUUUUUGUUGACAAACAGCACACACCCUCUGUAACUGUCCCAAUACCCUCAAUUUAGUCAUUAAACAACUAUUUUUUGGUUAAGUUCAUGUUUUACAUCAUAAUUACUUUCAACACUGAGUUUACAUUUUAUUCUGUACUCAUAAUACUUGUGUUGCAUACAAUUGUAACAAUACAUUUUUUUGAUUUAAUGGGGACUACAAACCAUUGCUUAGAAAGCAAAAUAAAUUUGGUGUAGGUAUAGUCCAACUGAAGAGAGCAUUUCUCUUCUUUUUGAUGUAUACUAUAAAUAGGUUUCUAAAGCGGCAAUUACAUGUAUAACAGUGGUUGCCGAUCAGGGAUUUUUAUUUAAGAGUUUAAAAAAUAAUGUAGCAUUCCUUAUACAUCAUGUCUAUACAUUAUACAAGCUUGUUUUCCACAAGCAUAUACCCCGCAGUAUGAAGAACUCGUGACGAGGGUUUCAUAUGAAAUAAAAUUUAAAAAAUAAAAUCCUCCCACCCGCCCCAUUUUUUUCAAAAAUUUGG
This 855-nucleotide long non-coding RNA is filed under the name Mytilus galloprovincialis (Mediterranean mussel). The record is from RNAcentral. Lineage: Eukaryota; Metazoa; Mollusca; Bivalvia; Mytilida; Mytilidae.